CUGCUGCCUCCCGUAGGAGUCUGGGCCGUGUCUCAGUCCCAGUGUGGGGGGCCUUCCUCUCAGAACCCCUACGCAUCGUCGCC
Molecule: ribosomal RNA, 83 nt
Filed under: uncultured bacterium
Lineage: Bacteria
Description: partial 16S ribosomal RNA
Source: RNAcentral